UGGGUGAGUGGUUAUUGUUUUAAUAGUUGGUCUGUUUUUGUAUUGGUGGUGUUAUCUUACUUUUAGUAGUUAUUCUAUGGUUGUGUUACUUUUACUUUUUGGGAAUUUUAAUUGAGCAUUGAUUUAGCCAUUCUGCUGCUCAUCAAAGUAUGGCUUAUUGAUGGCUUAAUUUCAAGAACAAAAGCUAUAGUGUCUAGAAGUUGCCCCCAAACAACAAAAAGGGGGAAAAAAAGGGUUUGCUUUGCUAAAAGGUAUACUCGUCUUUUUGAUUCAUCUUAACUUAAUUGCUUCUACUAGGCUUAUUGGAGUUUACAUAGUGGAAUAAUUUAUUGGUUAAAGUGCAGAAUUAACAUCCUGACUGCAGUCUUGAUUGCUGAUUCUUUGAACUGAACUAAUUAAAUGCUGGAUGUGUUGAUUUAUGAGAAGGAAAUCUGAGGCCGUUGCUUUAUCUAAGUUCUGAUGAUUGUUCAAGCUGAACUAAUUAUUUUGGCUUGGGAGAAGGAAAUAUGGGGUUUUUUCCUAAUCUAACUAAGUUGAAAUUAUCAGAACUUUUCCAGUGCUGGAUUGUGCACAAGCCAAAUGUUUAAUUGUGAUCAUAUCUGCUUACAUGUUUGGGUUCUUCUUUUGUAAUUAAACUGUGACGAACCGCCAAAGGCAUUUGUAAGAACCUUUUGAAUCAAGCAGUGCGGCGAUUCGAAAGGUUCUCAGCCAGGUAGUAACUUAACUAGAUGAAGUAUAAGCGCUUAGAUGAUUUUCUGUCUCCUCUCUAUUUAAUAUUAGAUACCAUCUCUUCAUUUAUGGUCUUCCUUUUGUUGUGCUCCUGUCCGAAAGCAGCUGUUCGGUGCGAGUUAAUUUUGCAGUCAGAAUUUGUACUUGUAUGGAUAUAUGGUAUCAAGAGAUCCUUCCUCUAGAAUAGUUGAUGAGUUCUGAUCUACUGGUUUUAUGUUUGAGCUUUUUACUUUGGGUUCCUAACCUUGCAGACAUGAUGAAUGUCUUAGAUGUGGUGCUAUCAGUUAAUAAUUUUAGAAUCUCAUUGCAUUGCCCCUUUCUGUUUUUCCUUUCCAAAAACAAAUUUUCACUGUGAAUUGUACUAGUGGGUGUGUUUUAUAGGAAUCUCUGGAGAGGAGGAAUACUCUCUCUGACAUUCUUGAGCGUUUCCAAUUUUGGUUUAACUUGUUUUUGUCGGGUGCAGCAAGACUAUGCAGGUAGAGGAAAUUCUAACUAUUGAUGUGAAGCCCGGAUGGAAGAAGGGUACAAAGAUCACCUUCCCUGAGAAAGGAAAUGAGCAGCCAAAUGUUAUACCCGCUGAUCUUGUAUUCGUUAUUGAUGAGAAGCCUCACAGUGUAUUUACUCGGGAUGGAAAUGAUUUGAUUGUCACACAGAAGAUAUCUCUUGCAGAAGCAUUGACAGGUCAUACUGUUCAUCUCACCACCCUAGAUGGGAGAAGUUUAAACAUCCCAAUCAACAAUGUGAUUCAUCCCACCUACGAGGAAAUUGUCCCAAGAGAAGGAAUGCCCCUUCAAAAAGACCCAUCAAAGAGAGGCAACUUGAGAAUCAAAUUCAACAUCAGGUUCCCUACUAGGUUGACCGCCGAGCAUAAAGCGGGAAUCAAGAAACUCCUUGGUCCCUGAAAUAGAUACAUCGGCAAAUGAUAUUUUUCAGAAACAGAGUUUUUUGUUGUGAAUAUCCGCGCGUCAGAUCAUCGAGUAUAUUAUGAAACAUGGCCGGCUGUCCUGGUUGGUUCUUUGGUUACAUUGUGAUUACAAUUCUACUAGCUUAAAUUGAUAGUUACUUUCUUAGGCUUGUUUGAGAGUUGCUGCUUAAUGCAUGGGAGAGUUGCGUCGUCAUCUUAUUUAAGAUUCAGGGGUUAUCAACUGUAAACCAACAUCUGCUUUCAUAAUAAAAAUAUGAUUGAUUUCUGCAUCAUUGCCUGUGUUGGUUUCUGAUGAUAUUAGGAAUCUGAUAUAGGGGUGUUUUAGGUGGCUAAAAAUUUCCUUUUGGAUGGUGUCGUAUCUACUGUUUAUGUUCUUUGGGUUGAUAUGUGGUGGUAAAAUUUGUCUUUGAUUUACUAGAUUUGCUGUGAUUCGAGUUUCUUGCAUUGGGCUGAAUGGGGAAUGUAACUGGGAGUUCUACAAAUCCAGUUAGAUAAAGUUCAAAAUAAUUUUCUGUGGCUUUUAUUUCUCUUAAAAGCGGAAUUCAGUCAAUUAAGUAAAACUGUUGGAGGAAGCUAUCAAUUUUUUAGUCAACUUGCAUUUUACUCAAUGGAUUGUUUUAAAUAUUUUUAUAAUAUAUUUCAUAAGGAGCUGGCUAAUUUACAGAUUCUGUAACAUACAGAUCCAACUUAGCCAGCUCCUGAAUGGUUAGCUAGCUACCAAACAAAAACAAUUGCAUGCUUUUUCUCCAUAUGCAGGACAGGUGUGGUGCAUGCAUUGGGUGCGUAUGUUACAGAACCUGUAAGGUAGACAGGUCCUAUUUCAUAAUCACGGUUGCCGGUGUACUAAGUUUAAAAGAAUAAUUCGAAUCAGCUAUGUUAAGAGAAUUUGGGAAAUUUACAAAAGUAAUCAUAAAAUUUUUAUUAGUUUUACAAUUAAUUCUUUAAAUUUUUUUUAAUUAACAUUAAUUAAGCACCAUUUUUUUUCUCUAAAUUAUCCUUAUUUACAAAUCAAAAAUAUUUUUUAUCUUUUAUCAAAUCAAACGCAGUUUUGCAUUCUUGAAUCAUUACCAAUGGCAGCAUAAGACAACAGCAAACGGCGAUAGCGAACAAUAAAUGUGAAAUUCGAACAUAAUCCAUUUGGAUCCAAUACCAAUCCGCAUCAUUGAGUGGUAUGAAUUAUUUUAUGAACUUGCGAGAGUUUCAGUGCGAUUGCUUGGUGUAACAUGCACCUGUUGCACAAAUUUAGUGCGACAGGCAGCUUGUCGCACAAAAUUUUCGUAGGACAAUCUGCCCUUUGGUGCGACAGGAUGCAUGUCGCACUAAGAGGUAGAUUCACCGACUUUGCUUUUUAGUGCGAUGGGCAGUCUGUCACCCCAAAACCGUGCGACAGGCAACCUGUUGCACCAAGAGGUAAAUUUAUUGCAACUGACUCUUUAUUAAUUUGAUAGUGCACAAUUAUUAUUAUUUUUUUAUAAUUUCAGGCUUAAUAGAUUCAGUUGUGCUUAAAUUAUAUUAUGAUGGUUGGUGGGAGACGUUAGAGGAUAGUCGUAUGAAGUAUGUGAAUGGUAAAAAUAGAGUUUUUUUUAUUGAGAAAAAUUGUCUGUUUGAUCAGUUUUUGACAAGAGUAUACGAGGUGUUACAAAUAAAUCUUAAUGAACAUAGUAUCACAAUGAAGACAAUUUUGAGAUCUAGUAACACAUUAUAUCGUAUAUGUGCACUGCACAUUGAUAUAUUUGAUGGUGAAAUGGUGAGGGUUGUGUUGCAUAUGGCAUCCAAUGUGGCCAACUAUAGAUGCAUUCCUAUAUUCGUUACCACAUCACCUCGAGUUCUGAGCGAAGAUGUUGAGCCACAUGUUGGAACAGAAACUUCCUUUAGAGCAAAUAUUUUUGGCCCCGAUAAUGAAUAAGAGGUGUUGCCAAGGACAAUGUCGUUGCAGCAAUAUUACUCUCCAAUCUAUGAUAAUUAUGACAACAUUGAUGACAACGGUAUUACGUUAGAAGAUGUUGGAGAAGAGGUGUUACUACUAAUGACGUUGUUGAAGUAACGGUAUUCUCCGUAUCACAACAAUGGUUUCCAGGACAAUGAUGAUCUUCACGAUGAGACAGAGAGGGAUAAUAUUUGUGCAGAAUCUUUUAAUAGUAUGAUGGGCACUCAUUUCAAUAAUGCAGGUGAUGAUAGAGGAGCCGGUCCUUCCAAUAUUCUGUCGUUUUAGCACGAGGAUGGGUGUGAAAACGAUAUUCAUGUGAAUAACAGAGAAGAAGGAGGAUUCACAAGUCAAUGAAUCUAUUCCUUCAAUAGUUCGAUCGAGAAGGAGGAUUGACACCUUCACAAGUCUUACUCCAAUUUUGUCUUCGAACAUGGUUGCUCCAAGCUUUCUUAGCAGUUGUGACUUAGAUGAUAUUAGUGUGGGUAAGCUAUUUGCUGAGAAGAAUGAGUUAAUAUUACAAUUGCACAAGGUUGCCUUUAGGAAUAAGUUUAAUUUCAAAAUUACACGGUCUACAACGAUACGUUUCGAAGCUCAUUGUUGUUCGGAAUCAUGUAAGUGGCGUAUUCGAGCAAUUAGAAGUUCGAAAGAGCAUAAUGUUCUUUGGGUGGUGAGGAGAAUUGACCAUGUACACACUUGUCAUAAUGAUGUAUUGGUUAAUGAUUGUCGUCAAGUAAGAAGCCGAGUUAUCGGUCAUAUUAUCACAGAUAAAUAUAUUUAAGAAAAGAGAAUUUAUACUUCGAAUGACAUCAGAGCAGAUAUGCAAUAAAAAUACGGUGUUCAGUUAACAUACCAACAGACAUAUCGGGCCAGAGAAGUUGGUCUUGAAAUAGUUAGAGUCAUACAACUUGCUCCCUAAAAUACUCUCAUGUACUGACUAAAGCGAAUGAAGGGACAAUCACUCACCUCGAGUGGGAUGGAGAUGGUAAUUUCUUGUACUACUUUGCAGCACUUGGAUCUUCCAUCAAGGGAUUUAUGCAGUGUAUUCGGCAUGUUAUUGUUGUAGAUGGUACUCAUCUAAAGGGACUAUAUCGUGGAAGCAUGUUCGCAGCAACAUGUCUGGAUGGUAACAAUCAAUUGUAUCCGUUAGCCAUUAGGGUCAUAGAUUCAGAAAAUAAUGAUGCUUGAGAAUGAUUUAUGAUAAAGUUACACAGGGUGAUUAGUGAUAGGCUGGAGUUGGUAAUUAUCUUUGAUCGAUGCACUGCCAUAAAGAGAGCCGUUCUGAAAGUAUUUUACAAUGCAACUCGUGGCGUUUGUUUUUACCAUGUGAAAGGUAACAUUAAGGCAAAGUUUAGGAUGUCCAAAGCUCUUUGGGAUGAAUUUGAGCCUGCCUUUAUUAAUGCAGUAAAAUCAUAUGGAUACGAGAAAUUUAAAAAACAACUUGAAGGGUUGUGGAUGAUCCACUCGGGUGCGGCUGAUUACUUAGAAAAUAAUAUGGAUACAUGUAAUUGGACAAGGCCUUAAUUUGAAGGUAGGAGGUACAAUAUACUUACCACCAACAUCGCAGAGAGUGUUAAUUCUUUUAUGAAGGAACCGCGAAAAUUUCUUGUUACUCAUCUUGUUGAUUACUUUAGGAAACAUUGCAGCAAUGGUUUUAUGAUAGAAAAAUUGUGGCUGAAUCAAUGAGUACUCGGUUAACAAUAUGGACAUUUGAAAUAGUCACUGGGAGGAAAACUAUAGCUGAAAAAAUGAUCGUUCGGCCGGUGUCUCCGUAUCAAUUUCAAGUUGUAGGUGGUGGGAUUAAGGAAGGUUUAGUUGACCUACAAAAGAAAACUUACUCCUUCAAAGUAUUUUAGCUUGAUCACCUUGUAUGUGCUUAUGCAAUUGCGGCGUGUCUAACUGUCCGAGUGGAUUUCAUUAACCUUUAUUUGGACUUUUACACCACAGAAUCGUUGGCGAUGACUUAUGGACAACCAGUGGAGCUGGUUGGUGACGUGGCUGAUUGAGAAGUUUCAGAUGAAAUUUAAUAUAUGCAAGUAUAUCCACUAGUUGAGGCAACACCAUCUGGUCGUCGUAAAGAGCUCAGAAUAACCUCGACUGGCAGGGAUGUUAACUGGCAGACUAUUAGAUGCGAGUGGAGUAAUGAGCUGGGACAUAACAAUAAGCGAUGUAGGAAUCCCAUUGCGUUGAGUCGAAAUUAGUUGUAUUGUUUCAACGAUUCCUUAGUUAAAACAGUUGUUGUUUUUUUGUGUAUUGUACACUUAUAUGUCAUGAAAUUUUAUUUUAUUUUUUAUAUUAAAAUGUGAGCAUUAAAAUUAUAUAAACUUAAGUGCGCAAAUUAGAAUAAAAUUUAAUAUUUCAACAUUCGAAUUACUAUAACGGCUUAUAAUACAAUAUCGUCAUUAAAUAUGUCAACUGCAAUCUUCUUUCUAAAGUAUUCCCCACGACUGCUGUUAAACUCUAAUUUAAGCCCGAACAUUAAAUACAUCAUAAACAUUAAUAAAAAAAACACCGCAAUCGCUAGUUCUGAGCUCUUGUUGUAGCACACUCUUAAUUGUGAUAACUUUCCAGGGGUUAGUACUCUGCAACUUAGGUCGGAUGUUGUAAAAGCCAAUAUAUUCCAACCAUCGAGGGAAGAUAACUUCAAGCGACUUGAAUUUCAACUUGUACUUUUUGUAGUCUCGAAAUGUCAGUAAUGAGUUAUAAAUUCAGACUUUGUUCUUACGAAAGUCUACUCGAGAUAGUACCCAAUGCUCGCAGUCUAGGUUAACAGGGAUGAGUAACUGUAUAUAAAAAAUUAUCGUUAAUUAAUAAUGUUUGUUAUAUAUGAAAUUGAAAAACAAACAACAAAAAGCCACAUCCACAUUUGAUUAUGGCCGUGCAAUGCAAUAAAAUACAUACCAUAUCGACAUCCGUCAUUGGUUUGGACAUGAUGUGUUAUCACCCACCAAUAUAGUUAUUUAAGUUGUAGCUAUAUACUAAUGAAUCGACCACAUAAUCUCCGUUGUUCCAUAACUGAUUCAAGAACACAUAUUACAUAGAUAACCAAGAAAUACAUAGAUUAACAAAACUUCAAGGUGAUAAUAAACAAAUAGAAAGGGUAAUUAUAAGUUAGCUCGGCACGUUACCCACAAAAAUAUAUUAGUAUGUGUGAUACGUUGAAUUAAGGUAUUCGUAUACUGCCGUUGUUUCUCGCUAAUCAAGCAAAAAUACUCGUGAAUAUGCUGCAGAGGAACAAAAAUAUGUCGAUUUAAAAAAAAAUAUACACAAAUCCACAACACGGAAAGAAAUUAGGAAAAUAAUUACAUCGUCCCCAAGUCAUCCUAUUGAAACAUGGCCCAAAAUCACUUGAAAGAACGAAUGCGGGUAUUGGACUCUCUGAUCCAUUGUCAUAUCGCCAGUGAACCAUCGGUCAAACUCAUCAUACAGACUUGGAUCCUCCAAUCCUCUAAGUAGAUUUAUAUCCACACUCGUACUCAUGUCAAUCGCAUAGUCCAUGAUUUAGGGUGGAGGUAAAGGUUGGACGUUUUUUCCUCGCUCGAAUAGAGGAAUCAUAUAGGGACUGUUAAAAACAUACGAUGGUCUGUACGCUCGGCCGAACUUGCUAAUGUCCGGAGACACCUCAGCGAAGACCUGCAUACUCUUCCUACUAACAUCCCCGUAGAAAUUAUACAAUGACGUGGGAGUAGAAAAAUUUUGAUUGCUCACAUCAGUAUACACUCCAUAGUCAUCUGGGGCAUGUCUAUUCAGCAAGAUGGACAUAUUAAACAAUUAUCAAAUUAAAAGUUAAACGAACAUAAUUGUCAAAUUUAAAUUUGCUCACCCAUACGAGCGUCCAAUCGCAGAAUCCUUGUUUGGAAGCUUAGACAGUGAAUAGAUAAAUCCCACCACAAUUUCUUUAAAAUCUUUAAAUUCCAACUUAAGUUCAUAAAUGUUACGAUCAAUCUUGUCAUUCUUAUAAUCUUUUAACUUGAUUUUACAAAAAGGAUUACAAAUGAAUUUCUUAACCCAAGUGUAUUGCAACACUUAUAAUCUUUUAACUUGAUUUUACAAAAAGGAUUACAAAUGAAUUUCUCCCACACAAUGUAUUUGAUCACAAAUGAAAGCUCAAUGUGUGAAUGAUGAGAUGAAUACAAGGAUUUAAAGCUCAAUGAAAGUUGUAUUCUCAAUAUUUUGCUCAAUGAUGAUCGUUAGAAUUCUGCAUAUUUGGAUUUGAAUGAGCUUAUUUAUAUUUGGAGCUAAAAACUAGCCGUUAUUGACUAUCUGCUCACUAUUGGAUCGCCGUUAACUAGAUGUCGGAUCACCGUUUGACUGGUCAAUAUGACCGUUGGGCUGAAUUUUUAAAUUGUCGGAUCGUCGUUAUCUAGAUGUCGGAUCGCCGUUUAGGUCCAGAGGUUAAUCUUCAGUUCUGUUCGAUAUCGGCGAGUCAUUUAUUAAAAUUGUCGGAUCGCCAUUUAGGUCCAGAGGCUAAUCUUCAAUUUUGUUAGAUGUCGACGAGCCGUUAUCAAUAUGUCGGAUCGCCGUUUUCUACAGUAACUACUACAGUGACUGCUACAGUGAACUAUUUUAUAAAAUAACAGUUUGACCGUAAAACUUUAUAUAACUGUACUAUGGCCCAAAACAUUAUACAUUUAGCAAAUAAGUCCAAUUUCAGAAUUUCUAAAUAAUACUUACUAUUCCCAAUACUUUUUGAAAUUAUGAUAUAGCCCAAAAUGCUAUGAAUACUUUUCAAAUAGAUUCUUCAAAAUUUUAAGCAAUACUUGUUGAUUUCAAAGUUUUCAAAACUCUUUCAAUUAAACCAUAAACUUGAAAAAUAAAUAAUUUCAUAAAAUCAUUUUUCUAUUAAAUAUAAAACCUUUAAAAUGUGAAAAUAAUGAUUUAUUUAAACUGUAUAAAAAUAAUUUGAGCUUUUAAAAACUGAAUCAUUCUUAAUUUUGUUUGUUAUCAUCAAAAUCAACAUUAUGAAUACAUAAAUGUUAACAAUCUCCCCCUUUUUUAUGAUGACAAACUUUUCAUGUAUUUAAAGAAUGAUUCCACAAAUUACUCCCCUUAAAUGUAAGCUUCUCUUACAAUUUAGGUAAAUUAACAAAUUUAAAUACAUGAAUUCUUUCCCCCUCAUCAUCAAAAAGAAAACUUAAUGAAAAAGAAAAAAAGUAGUAAAUUUGUUACCCAUGUUGUCCGAGUAGAAAUUGGGAUAGAUACUUCCCCUAACAACAAGCAUCGCCUCAAAUGCAAAUUUAGUAAUAUUACUCCGAAGUUAUUAUAAAUCAUGAUACACACCAUGUAAUCAAAUCAUCAUCAUAUCUCAAAAUCAUCACCAUAAUCACAUAUUAAUCAUCAAAACAAUAUUCAAAAGUCCAUAUUAUUCUCCUCUUUUUGAUAACAUCAAAAUGAUAUAUUACUUUGUCUCCUCCUUUGGACAACAAAAAAGUUCAAAAUGCAUAUUAUCCAAAAUCAUAUUAUAUGUUCCCCCUAAAUAUAUGGCCAAUUUAAAAUUUUAACUAAAAUGAUUUGAUCAAAAACAUAUCAUAUUUAUUUCCCCCUUCAUCAUAAAAAAGAAAAGAUAGAUAGAUGCAAUCGAAACAAGAUCAUAAAAAAUAAUUCGAUGAAGAUAUUACCCAUUUUGUGCGAGCAAAAAUUUCGUCAAAAUCUCUCCUUAAAAAUGAACAAAUUCCCAAAUACACAACAUGGUUAAAAAUUCUUCCAUAUAAACUGAAACAAUUAUAACAAACCAACAACUCCAUCAAUUCAUCAAGCAACACAUAUAUAAUCAUCAAUCAUCAAAGUCAUCAAGAAAUCAAUUUUAAUAGUAUUAAUAACAUCAUUAGAGAUAUUAAUAAAUUUCAUCAUCCUAAGUUCAUGCCGAAUUUUUGAAAAUUGUUCUUCACAAAAAAGUUUUGAUUUGUUUACCAAGUUGGCAUGCAAAAGUUAUAAGAACAUAUUAUCAACUAUCCAAACUCCAUAAUAAGUAAACACAUUUUAAAAAUCAAGACAAUUAAACUCAUCAAAGAUCUAAUGUGACAUUUUAAUAUAACUUAAAAAAUCUCAUAUGCUUAAAAUUCUCAAAGUAUAUGUAUUUCUCCCAUUUUCGAUAUUAUUUAAAGCAAAUAAUGCAUAUUCGACAAUACAUCAAUAAAGUACAAAAAAAAUGCAUCCAUUCACCAAUUAUAGUUCCCAUAAGAUCAAACUUCCUCAAAUACAUGUAAUCAUCAAAGCAUAUUCUUUAUCUCAAAUCUUCAGCAAACAUAAGUGUAUAAUUGCAAUAUAAGAUCAUCAAAAUCAACAUAACUAUUAAGAUAAGCCAUCAUUAUGAGUAAAGAACAAGUGAUCAAAUUCAUAAGCGCAAUAAGUCAUUAGUGCGAAUUUGAUAAAUAAUAUAACACAAUUAAUGGCAUAUGAAUUCACAUAUACAUAAGAGAUAGACAAUGAUGAUAGACAAUUAAGAAGAUGAAAUCAAAGACCAUACAAUCAUCAAAAUCAAACAAAGGCAUCAUGAUAAAUUACUCAAUGUUAUACACAAUGAUAAUUCAAUUAUGUAAACGUAUUAUCAUACUUUUGCAAAUUUAAGCUACUAUCCAUUUAUCAUGAUCCAUUAAAAAAAAUAGCCAAGAUAAUUUUAUCCAUAUCAUGCUAAUGCACUUAAUGUUAUGAUGAAAUAUGAAAUACUUACUAAGAUUAAAAAAUCGUCACUUAUAAUCAAUAAGGCAAUAAUUGUUACCAAAACAAUUAAAUAAUCUUGCCUCAUUAUUUUUGCUUACACCAUGAUCAAAUGAUUAUUCUCAUAAGCUUUUAUCAAGGAACUCUCCGUCAUUCCUUGAUUGUAGUGCCUACAAAAAAAUAUUCAAGUUGUGUAUUUUGGUACCCAAAUAUUCUUGGGUCCUUGAGUGUUAACAAUGGUUCCUUUUGGAACCCAAAUACAUGUUACUCCAUAAUAUGCAUUUCUUUUGACCGGACAUCUAAGCUUCAUGUGACCAUUUUGAUUGCAAUAAUGACUUACAAUUUGAUCAUUAAUGGAGGUAGUUUUAACAAAAUAACUCUUAUAAUAUUUUUGCUUCAAAUUUGACUUAUAAUCAAUACCUCCUUUAUCAAACACACACUUUUGCGAAUUAAGCAAGUUAUCCAACAUCUUUUGCCCAUUUGUGAAUUUUAACACAAUUUGAUUUAGCUCAUUGCUUUUCUUCUUAAGCACUUCAUUUUCUUUUAUUAAUUCAUCAAUCUAUGAUUUCUCAUGCUUAUAUGAAGUACUUUGUUUGCAUUUAAAUGAUGUAAUUUUAUCAUGCAAGAUUUUAUUAUCUAACUCUAGUCCUUUAAUCUUUUCAUUUAAUAAAUCAUUUCAUUUUUGUAAAGUAUCAUUUUCAUUUUUCAAGUCAUCUACAUAUGAUUCUAGAUGCUCAUGUGAAGUGCUAGGUUUCUCAUUUGAUAAUGCAACUCUAUCAUGCAAUGUUUUAUUCUCUAAUUCUAGGCAUAUAAUCUUUACACUUAGAGAUUCAUUUUCAUUUGUGAGCUCUACCAUUUUCUUUUUAAGAUAUGCAUUCUUUUUACUAAUUUUCAUCCACUCAUCAUACAAUUCUUUAAACGCAUCAUGUAAUUCAUCAUAAGUAGGAAGAUCAUUUACCUCAUCAAGUUCAUCAUCCGAUUCAUCUUCAAUUGCCAUAAGAGCUAGAUUUGUCAUUUCUUGAUGCUCUUCAUCAUCACUUGUUUCCUCAUCGCUAUCAUCCCAUGUGGCUACCAUUGCUUUCUUCUUGAGCUUAUUGAGAAGAGGACAUUCUGUUCUUAUAUGACCAAGCUUUUUGCACUCAUAACAUUUGAUUAUUUCCUUCUUCUCCUUUCGGCUCUUGAGGUCUCUAAAUUUUCUUCGCUCACUAAUUUCUUAAAAACUUUUCUAAACCUCCUAGCCAGCAUAUCCAUCUCCUCCUCAUCCAGCUCGCUUUCCUUGUCACUCUCAUGUUUCGAGACUUUGAGAGCAAUGCUUUUCUUCUUCUCCCCAUUGCCUUUUUCGGCUGCCAAGUCUUCCUCAUAAGAAAUAAGAGAACCAAUUAAAUCAUCAAUAUGUAAGAUUUUAAAUCUUUGGCUUCCUCAAUGGCAGUCAUUUUUUGUCUCCAUUCCUUAGGUAGUGACCUAAUGAUUUUCUUAACUUUCUCGCUAUUUGAAAAUGUCUUUCCUAGGGCUCCCAAAGUGUUCACUAUGUCCGUAAAUCUAGUAUACAUAGAAUACACACGCUCAUUUUGUUCCAUUUGGAACAAUUUAUAUUGUCGAGUGUACCUACAAAUUUUACACUCUUUCACUUGAUUCUUACCUUCAUAAACAACUUCAAGUUUGUGCCAAAUUUCAUUAGUACUUUCACAACUAAAUGCUCUAUGAAACUCUUUCUUAUCUAGUGCACAAAACAAGGCAUUCUUAGCUUUGGAAUUUAGAGAAGCUUUUCUCUUUUCCAAUUCAUUCCAUUCCCGUGAAAGUUUUGGAAUAUCUUCCCCGACUUCAUUUGUAGUCAAAGGCAUAAAUGGACCAUCACAAACAAUUUCCCAAAUUUCAUAAUCUAAAGCUUGUAAAUAAAUUCUCAUCUUAGUUUUCUAAUAUGGGUAGUCAUUACCAUCAAAGAACAGUGGUCUAAUUGUGGAUUGUCCUUCCCUAAAGGUUAAGUCAUUAUAGGUUGCCAUGGAUAUUUAACUCUAGACGGUUAAGUCUACACAAGAGCACCUUACUCUGAUACCAAAUGAAAUUCUAGUUAUGCAACCCAAGAGGGGGGGCGAAUUGAGAUUUUAAAAAUUAAACUAAGCAAAUCACACAACAAUUUAAUCUAAUGCCUUAAUGAAAUAAAUAAUAAUAAAUUUAAUAAAGCACAAUAAUAAAAGAGUGAGGGAAGAGAGAGCAAACACAAUGAUUUUUACGUGGUUCGACAAUCCCCGCCUACGUCCACACCUCUAAGCUCACCGGGCUUGAGGAUUUUACUAAGCAAGCCUCCAAGGCUUCAAAUGCUUACAAUUGACUUCCAAAGUGUCAAUGGACCUUCACAACAAGAGAUUAUCCUUAAUCUCUUAACCCAAGUGUAUCGCAACACUUAUAAUCUUUUAACUUGAUUUUACAAAAGGGAUUACAAAUGAAAGCUCAAUGUGUGAAUGAAUGAGAUGAAUACAAAGAUUUAAAGCUCAAUGAAAGUUGUAUUCUCAAUAUUUUGCUCAAUGAUGAUCGUUAGAAUUCUGCAUGUUUGGAUUUGAAUGAGCUUAUUUAUAGUUGGAGCUAAAAACUAGCCGUUAUUGACUAUUUGCUCACUGUCGGAUCGCCGUUUAACUGGUCAAUAUGACUGUUGGGCUGAAUUUUUAAAUUGUCAGAUCGCCGUUAUCUAGAUGUCGGAUCGCCGUUUAUGUCCAGAGGUUAAUCUUCAGUUCUGUUCAAUAUCGGCGAGCCGUUUAUCAAGAUUGUCGGAUCGCCGUUUUCAUGUUAUUUCUUACUUUAUACUUGAUGAAAUUGAUGAAAAAAUAUGAAUUGAUUUUUUUUUAAGAUGAGGCAGCCUUAUAAAAUUAAUGUUAUUUAUAAAAGUUAAUUAUUUGUUUAUUAACUUUAAAUAUGUGUGUGUGUGUGUGUGUGUGUGUGUGUGUAUAGUUAAGUGUACGGACAUUAUACCUUUUGUAGUUGUUGAUAAGUUCCAAAUUAUAUUCAACUUGCUAAUCUAUUAGAACUUUUAUAUCUCUUUUUUUCCAACUAGCUCCAACAAUCUCAAUAUCACCCACACCACAUAAACUUCCGACAACAUCUGUAAUAUUAUGGAAAAAUAACAUAAACUUGCUAAAACAUAAGGAUCAAUAAUUUCUAAUAUACACUUAAAGAUUAACAAACAUUAAAAAUUAAAAAAAAUAUCUCAGAGGAUUGUGUUAUCAUUCACACGUAUAUUAACUAAUAAAAGUUAGAAAUGUUGAAUGCAGUAGAAGUAUCCAAUGCAGUCGUCGAAAACCGGGUGGUUUAAACCAAAAUAAAAACAAAAAAAAGCUAUUAGCAUCAACAUAAAUAAAGAAGCAACGCAAAAUAAAGAAUAAAAUGAGAUAAUAUUAUAUAGAAUGAUUUUAUUCAUUCCAAUUGUGUGUGUAUAAAACAAAAAGAUGAGUUCUCCUUUUAUAAUUACAUAAUCACUCCAUGAAAUUAAUGAAAAAUUAUGAAUCAUAAUUCCUUGUGAGAUAGUGGGAGUUAUAGAGAAGCUAAAUGUUGCUAAUAGGAGAUAGUGGGGAGAUUAAGAGAUAUAUAUUAUGAACAUCCACAUUUAUUUUAAUAAAUUUAUAACACUCCCCGUUGGAUGUUCAUUAUAAAGAAUAUGCCUCAUUAAAACCUUUACAUAAUUGUUAUUGUGUAAUAACAAUCAAAUUAAUUAUGAGAAGACGUAAAGCCAAAUCUAAAAGAAAAUUUCUCUAUUUAUUAGAUAAUAGAAAAUAUACAAAAAUGAGAAAUAGUGAUGCCACAUCACUUCUUGUAGUCCCAACUUUAUAUAUAUAUAUAUAUAUAUAUAUAUAUAUAUAUAUAUAGAAAGAGAGAGAGAGAGAGAGAUUGUAAUAAUGAAAUGUGCAUAAAAAAUAAUAUAAAAAUAGCAUAUUAUUUUUUACAUUAUUUCAUUAAAUUUUAUGUCAUCGUCAAUACAUAUAUCAAUAUUAUUAAUAAGAGUUGAUUAAUUACGUGAGAGACAGAUGAGUUUGUGCAAUUGGACAGAACAAGUCUCACACUAUAUUUUGCAAGGUCAUCACUUUAAUUUCAAAGGUUCAACCUUGUGUCUGUUUUGUGUGAAUUAUUAUUUUUUCCACAUAUAUCAUGGGCUUUAUAUAGAAAAAUGUUUUAACUCCACUAGGAUAAUUUAAUUAUUAUUUUACUAUUAAAGAGUAUUAAUUAAAAUAUCUAAACUCUUAUUUACUCUUAUGUGGAUGAUGUGAGAUGGAGUCGACCCUAAAUUUUGUUCAUAUUUACAUAAGAAAGUCUUGUUCGAGAUUGAGGUUGAACUGUUGUAACUUAAAAAGUAUACUAUUAAAGUGUUUGAUAAACACUAAUUGCUGUAAUUUAAAAGAUAAAUUGAUUUGAUUUUACACUCGUGUGAUGAAAAAAUUAUUAUAUUUUUAUUAAAUUUUUUAAAUUUAUUAUUUAAAAAUUAUAUUUAUUACAUCCUACUAAAUUUAUUUUAUAGUUACAUUUUUUUGAAUAAUAGUUAUAAAUUUUAAGAUAUAACUAUUAAACAUUAACUACUGUAACUCAGAAGUUAAAUUAAUUUGAUUUUACACUUGAGCGAUGAAAAAAUAAUUAUAUUUUUAUUAAAUUUUCAAAAUUAUUAUUUAAAAAUUAUAUUUAUUACAUCCUAUUAAAUUUAUUUUAUAGUUAUAUUUUUUUAACAAUAGUUAGAGGUUUUUAAGAUAUAAUAGCUCAAUAUCAGUCAAGCACAAAGUAAGAGGAGGAAUGGAAAAAGAGACGCGUUCACAUUGUACCUCAAAAGUAGAAAAAUAAAGAAACGAGGAAAAAGAUUCGGAGCUUACCGAAAUUCCAAAACUGCCCGUUUACUUCUUCGUCAACGGAACACUAGAAUCCUGAAGAGAACGUCCACUUUGGUAGUUUCCAAGCACAUGCCCCAUGGCCAUCACUCCAUCAGCUUCCGCGAGAAGUAACUCCGCGAGAAGUAACUCCAUCAGCUUGCGCGAGAAGUAGAAGCAAAAGCUAGUAGAAAUUAUUUGAUUGCUUUUGCUUUGCUCCGAAAGCAAAAGGCUUAUAAAAAGCCAUCCAAGCUUUUGGGCAGAAGCAGAAGCAGCAGUUAGUGAAAGUGAAGAAGAGAAGAUGGGAGCUGAUUAUUACAAGAUACUGGGAGUUGAUAGGAAUGCAAGUAGCGAUGACCUGAAGAAGGCUUACGAAAAGAUGGCCGCGAAGUGGAAUCCUGAUAAAUAUCCUGAUAACAGGAAAGAAGCUGAAGCUAAGUUGAACCGAGUUUGUGAAGCUUAUGAGGUCUAAUAUCUUUUUACUUUCUGCUUUCUAUUAUCAAACUUUAUUUUCCAAAACACUAUUUUUUAAUCACAGUAUGUUGUUAUGUGAUGAUGGUUACAAAAUGAUAUUACUUUUGUGGGAAUUUUUUUUUUUUUAAUUUUCUUGAAAUUGUUAUUCUCUAAUUUGAGACCAUUAAUUUAUCACUAGGGGGAAAAACUCUUUUACUACCGUUUACUCUCUCUAAUUGAUUACGCUUAAAAUUUAAAAAUAUUCACUAGGUUGUCUGUAAAUUUCACAUACACACUCGUGCUUGUGUCUGAUCAAGUAAGAUGUAAAUUGCAAAAAGGUCCUCGGCUAAACCCAUCUAAGGACUUAAUGGGAUUUUGGCUAGAGCCAUGAUAGGGGGAAAAAACUAGAAGGUAUUUAUGUGAUAAAAUUCAUUUUCUCGAAUAUUUUUUUUUGAUUAACAUCCUAUUUUCUAACCAUUUAACAUUUUUUUAAUUUAUAAUUUUAAAAAAAAGUAAUGGGCACAAAGUUCGGACAAUGAUCUUUUCUUAAUUUUGUUUCCCCUUAAUCUCUUUUAAUUUAAUAAGUAGUUAAGAUUGAGUUUUGAAAAUUAAUAUUGACAAUCAAGUUAAUUUUUUAUUUUUUAUAAUUAAAUCUAUUUUUUUCACUAGAUUUUAUAAACUAGGAGAAGUGAGAGAAAAUAAUUAAAAGAGGAUCUCAAUUUACAAAACCCUAAACCUACUGACUAUCUUCCCCAAAAUUCAAACUUGAAUGCCCAAUUAAACAAAGGUACUUGAAGAUUGCUAACCAAUUUAACUCUUGAAUAAGUAUUGCUCAAGUGUCAAAAGCUGCUGACAAAGUUCUAUUUUUUAGAAUAAAAUUCUUGACUUCUCGCAAGAGUGAUUUUUUUUUUCAUUUUUGUUAUAUUACUGUAAAGCAAUUCCCACAGAAUUUCAAUUUACCCAUAAAAGAAAAAAAAAAUCCCACUUGUCUUUAAUAGUUUUACAGUUGGUUAAUGUCACUGAUUCCAAAUGCUGUGUUGCUUAUCUUGGUUAUUGAUCGGAAACACAUCGUUUGAGUAGGUUCUAAGUGAUCCUCAAAAAAGAGCAAUGUUUGAUAGUUACCGUGAAGAAGGCUUGAAGGGUACGCCACAAGGCAGUCCCCGAAGUGCUGAUGACAUUUUUUCGGAAUAUUUUGAUUUCACAAUCCUCCAUGGAGGUGGGGGGAGGAGAGGGUCAAGUUCCAGUUCCUCAAAUGAGACAUUUGGUGAUGAUGAUGUUUUUCAUUCCUUUAAUAGAGUAUUUGUAAUGGGUGGACCUAAGAAAGCACCUCCGAUUGAGAAUAGGCUGCCUUGUACCCUUGAGGAACUCUACAAGGGGACUACUAAGAAGAUAAAGAUCUCUAGGGAAAUUGUUGACAUCAAUGGGUAAGUGGUUGUUAUUUUUAAUAUAGCUGACUAACUGAACCAGUUUUUGCAUACAUGUCAUGAUUUUAUUGGCUUGUUAUAUAGUUGUGACAAGAGGCAUAAUUUCUUCGACAUUGGCAAGAUUUCCCACUGUAUGUGUGUUUUUUGGUUAUGCAGUAAUACCAUCAAGGUGGAAGAAAUUCUAACUGUUGAUGUGAAGCCUGGAUGGAAGAAGGGUACAAGGAUCACCUUCGAAGAGAAGGGAAAUGUGCAGCAAAAUGUUAAGCCUGCAGACGUCGUCUUCAUCGUCGACGAGAAGCCUCACAGUGUGUUUACUCGAGAUGGGAAUGAUUUGAUCGUCACACGGACGAUAACUCUCGGUGAGGCCUUGGAAGGUUAUCCGGUUCUUCUCACUACCCUGGAUGGAAGGAGUUUAAACAUCCCAAUCGACAAUGUGAUUCAUCCCAACUAUGAGGAGACUGUCCCGAGAGAGGGGAUGCCAAUUCAGAACGAGCCAUCAAAGAGAGGCAACUUGAAAAUCAAGUUCAACAUCAAGUUCCCACCAAGUUUGACUGCAGAGCAGAAGGCCGGGAUCAAGUUUUUACAGCUUUUAAAUCGAUGCUUACCUUGUUUUGGGUUGUUUCGGAGUUGGAGUCCUAAUUAAUGUCGUCAUCUUUUCUUUUCUUUCCUUUUUUUUUUUCUCUCCCCAAAAUCGCGUGCUGUUUUCUUUUCUUUAUUUGCUUGUAUAUAAAUAAAGAUUUUGAUUUUGUCGUUGUUCCCUAUAAGAGGUGUUCUAUUAUGGUUCUAUAUUUCGAUGCGUAACUGUUGUGCCAUUUGCAGAAGAUAACUUCUGAUUGAUUUUCUCCGGGGCAUGAAAUGAAAAGUUCAGUAAAUCUAAUUUCAUUCUUUGCAAAGUGUCAUUCUGCCAACUUUGGCUGGUUUUAAAUCGGACUGACACGCUGUCCACAAGUCUCUAUAUACGGGGAUUAUUAUAUACACCUAAUUAAUUGGAAUCAAGUACUGCCAAUAAAAUCCGCUCCCAUGUGUGCAAAGACGAUUGGGUUAACAUGUGACGAUUAAAUAGCUCAGGGGCCCUUAAUCUACUGACUGCAGGCCAAUUAAGGACCGUCUAUGAUCCAUCAAUAUAAUUUUAAUACAGCGGACACGGCAAUAAAACGCCAACUGUUAAAAUAUUUUUUUAUUUUGUCUUUUUAGCUACAGAGAGAACGCUGCAGAAUCCAACUUGUCAUGAAGACACUUCUACCAAGUCAGUAACUCUUCACAGUUAAGUUGCUUUUGUUAGUCACUGAGAUCUGAAGAUGAUGCCCCUGUACCUUCGUCAGGGUCUCCAAUCUGGCCUCCAUCUCCAUCCCUGAUUCCCUCUUCAUCAGGCUCCUCAUUUACAUACUCUUCAACGUCCAAAUAACCUUGUUCAUCUUCUGCACCGCCGUCUCCCAUUUCAUCCUCAUCAUCUUCUUCAUCACCGUCUACAAUAUCAUAACUUCUCUCCUGCAAGUCAUUUGACAUACUAUUAAAACCACCUGCAUAUUCAUCUAUCAUAUCAUUGUAUUCAUCUCCUGUUGCUUGACCAUUUUCUUCACCAUACCCUGAUCUUCCUUAGAAGCUAGCAUUUUCAGCAUCGUCUACUUGCAAUUUAGGAAUUUCAUCUCUAUUCCACCCAUCCCUCGCUAAGUCUCUUGGUUUAUCAAAGAUGCUUUGCUUUGGAGCAUCUUUCUCCACAACCACCCUCUUUGUUGAUUUCCGCCUACUUCUAGCACUGCGACGACCACGCUUACGACUUCCUUGCGCAUGAGAUUGACCUUUCAAUACCAGUACUAGUCUCCCACUCUUGGUGUUUGUGCUUCUUUUACCAGAAUCCCUUCUGGAACCAGCUACUCUUUUCUUAGAUCUUCCAGUAUUCGGGAAUCCACGGGCCCUUCCACGGAUCCCUCGUCCAUGACUAGGGGCAGCAAAUCCAAUCCCCACAUCAACCCUGUUAGCUUCUUCAACUUGAAGAUAUUUUACUUGGUCUUCACCAUCUCUGGUGUUUUUCACAGCAGCAUAUUUUGAUGGAAGCUUCUAAGGAAUUUAAAGGAGAGAAAACGGUGAAGAAAACAAUUUGCUGGAGUAGUAAAUCUCAAACUAAAGUCAGAUAAUUACUGCUGCAGUAUAUGAAUCCAGGGAGAGCAGGACAAUGAUACCCAUAGAUGUUACCCUAAUUCUCUAAGGGUCCAUUUGGGGCAGCUGUGCUGUGGUAGCUACCCUAAAUAGGUUUCGCAUACAGCUUUGCCUUACCCUAAAUAGAGACAUAACUUUCAUUAGGUCUUAAAGCAUAAAAUCUACCACCCAAGAUGUAAGCGUGAUUUUGAUGUUUGCACACAGUUUUCAAGAACAACCAAAGAUUCUCCACUUGCCUUCACUACUAGUAGUAAUAAUCAAACUUUAUGUGACAAUUCUCAAGAAAAGGAACUAAUUUUCUAGACCUUGCUAACCAACAUUUCUGAUCCUCAAUUUUCUUUUCUAAUGAACCAGAAUCAUUAGUCAUAAACUCUUUCCUUCAUGUCAUAUCUCAUUAAAAGAAAAUCAGAGUUUAGGCCUACCUAGUCUGAUAACUAGUGUUAACUAAAACAAAAUUGAUAUAAGCAACUGAGAGUGCAUAAAAAAUUAUAUUACUUUGUAUUUAAAUGAAUUAUAUUAAAGCUGCACAUUUGAGAACGGAAAAGGCUACUCACCAUUAAGUUGCCUUCUCUUUUUUCCUUCUGAAACUCCACUCUCUGAUGUGGCAAAUAAGCUAUGGAUCUAUCAAGCUCCAUGAGCCUUAAACCUACAGCAGCUUCGUUUUUGGUACCCAUGGUAGUACAGAAACUAUUUCUGGACUGGAAGAACUGUUAGAAGUACAUGCCGAUGAGUUAAAUGAGUCCAAGAACUCACUAGUUGUUUCAAAGUUUGAGGACAAAAAGUCCCUCUUUAUGGCAUUCUCCAGCUGUGUAAGAAUCAGAAAAAUAAACGCAUUUUCCAACUUUCUGAGUUCUUCAAAAGUAAAUGUAAAUCCAGAAACAUUUAAAGAAAGAAAUGACAAACAAUAGCGAAUAAAAGAAUAUCCCAGCUUCAUCAGGGGGUUACAUGUUUUCACACAAUUCUAUUAACUACAGAGAUAAAAAGAAAUUUAAAAGAAUAGGUAAAGAGACAAUGAAAAAAGCUAAAAAACCCAUUUGAUUUUACAAGAUUUGACCCGCCAAUUCAGAUAUACUUUUAGGAAGUGACUCAAACUUUACGCUAAAUUGAUUAGAUAUCAAGAUAAGGAAUGAAAGAGACAGGGUAAACUUGGACACAGUAGAUUAAGACAUCAUAUCUGGAUUCAAUUCACAAAAUCAUUUUUAAAUUAUUUGUGCUUCCAGUUUUGCCGAACUUUUAGUUACUUCUCUUCUUUCAAGAAGUCACCCAAAAUGAAGCAAGUACACAGGAGAAAUCUGGCCGCACUGACCUCCAACUACUGGAGAAUCAAAACAUGAUGCAUCAACAGGAAAUGAGUUUCAUCUGACAUGUCAAGCAAUGGAACUAUUCUCACUAUGUUGGACAUUAAAGCAUUAAAUGGGAGAAUGGACAAAACUUUAUAAAGCAGAAAGAGAAAAAGAAAAUGUUAUAAAUUCUGACCAGAUACAAGUAUUGAGAAGAAAAAAGGUGAAACAUUAUACCUGAACAAGGCUAUCAGCUGAUAAUGAGGAGUUAAGUUUCAUUCCUCAGGAGUUUCUAUAGCUGUCAUUCCAAAUAGAUUGAAGAGCUUCUGAUGGGACAGAAACCUAGGAGGGUCGGUGGCGGGCAUUCAGAAAUUCAGGCCCAAAAAAAUAAACACCAUAAGUUGUAUGGCAAUGACAAAAGUUCUAAAAAAAGGGUAAUUCAGAGAGAAACUAGGAGGCAAAACAGUAGUGACAUAAGAAAUUAUCAAUUAUGUAGUACACGAAGACCAGGCAGGGUUCAUCUUCGGCUUUCCUUGACAUUGAGCAACAUGCUCAGAAAAAUUUAAGUACCUCUUAGAAGUAUCAAAGGUCUUGUGGCAAGAGCGGCAGUGGCUGUCUUCGAAAAAAUAUAAAUCAUGGCAGUAAUCACAUACACCCAGAACUUGCUUGCACCUUUUCUUCCCAUACUCCAUGGCACAUAAUAUUGAAGAAUUGACACAUUCCUUCCACAUCCACCUCUCGUAAUCUUGAUAUCGCUUCAAGGCGCCAUUUCUCCGAACGUCAUCUCUUCCAAGCUCAAUUGAGAAAGAUGUUGAUGUGUCUGAUAUUUCAGAAUCAGAAUCACACAAAAUACUGCUGGGGUUAUCAAUGCCAGUGUAAUCAGGGCAAGAAGCCCUUUCAAUAACUUCUGCUUUGACAGUCUCUUGAUUUUGCACUUCUGUGGUAACAUACUGCAAGUUCCUCCUAACAGUUUCCUUAAAGGACAUCUCAAUCAUUUGCAACACCGAAUGCAAAUGGGAUUCUCUAAGCCCAUGGACAUCCAAAGAUGUCAAAAGAGCAUCAAAACUCUGCUUGAAGAAUAUCAAAAGAUUUGUAUGAAAAAAUAAGGAAAACAUGGACACAACAGAUGGUAAAGUAUAAACAUGAAAAUUUUAUCAAAUAUGUCAAUUGAGAAAUGUUUUAUGGUAAACAAAAUUUCAGGAUGAGAAAGUAUGGACAGCCUGUUAAAUCAUGGUUUUGCUAUAGAAAGAUUUCAUGCAGCAAUCUUUCCUUGGGUUUGCUAUCAUAAGAAGACGCAAGGUAAAGAGUGAAUAGCAGCUAUACAUGCCAAAUAAAGAAAAAAAAGAUAUCCAUAUUGAUUGUUUACGCAAAUUAAACAGACUAUACAUUCAGAUAUGACAUAGCCAGCAAAUAAGAGUCAAUAGGAGAAAAUGCUACCUCUUCAGAAUCAAUGAGUCUCCAACGACCAUCACAUAACUCAACAAAGAUCCUGCCACAUCCAGGAUCAUUUUGAGACAUGGAUGUGAUAAAACGCCAAUAUCGAUUACGUCUACGAUCCUGACCAAGAGGCAAUGAUCUAUACACAUGCGUUUCCUCUGCCUUCUGACCAAUGUAAGAUUUCAACUGCAUGCGUGAAUUCUCAGCAGCAUAAGCUGAUUGCUGAUUUACAAGAUUAUCUGGACCGACAGGGUAAUCUUGGUUCCCUUCAGGUGGCAUGCUAGUAUUGCAAUUUUGGUCCUUCUGAGGUUCACCAAACUGUCCUUGUUGGAGAUUAAGGUCCACCAACGUCCCAUUACUUUUGUCAUCAACAGUAACCAAAGGGCUUUGCCUACCGUCUGCAGAAGAAAUUGCAAAACUAGGUUCUGCCUUGUUCCCCAUGUAUGAUGGAUAUUGCAUUUUCACAUAUAAUCUCCUUUAAUUCGUCGUUUAUCAGCUGUGCCUCUGCCCACAUUUGCUUCAUCAAAGCAUUUGCAGCUUCUGAGCGUUCCUGGAAAUGCCCAUAUUUCAGAUUAACGAAAAAGAAAAAAAUGCAAAGCAAAAUUUUCGGAAGCUCUCAUCAAGGAAAAAGAAAAAGAAAAAAGAAGAUACCUCAAGCGCAAAUGCGCAAUGCGAACUGGCGUUUUUUUUUUUUUUUUUAAUUUAAAUAGAGUUGAAUUAGUUUAAAUUUUGAAUAGAUAGUGUUUAUUUUUUUAUCUGAAUAUUAGAAAAUAAUUAUUAAUUUUUUUUAAUUUAAAAAUUAAAAAUAUAUAAUUUUAUAUUUGUAUUUAUAUUAAAUUUUAAGGUCAACUAAUAAUAUAUUAAAUAUCAUAAUAUUUUAAUAUUUAUAAAUAAAAUUAUAUUUAAAUAAAUAUAUAAUGAUUUUAAAAUUUUAAUAUAUAAAAUAUCAUAAAUUUUAAAUUUUAUCAUAUGUAAUAUAAGAAAAAAAAUUAAUAAGAUGUUUGAAAUAAUUGAUUUAUCAUUUUAUUUUACAAUUAUCGCAUGUAAUUUUAAUCUUCAUUACUUGAGGAGUUUAUACCAAAGUAAAGAGGGAUUCUUCGUUGGUUAAAAAAAUAAUGAUAAGAUUAUUAUAUGAGAUAAAUAUCUAUAAAUGAAUUUUAAGAUAGACAUAAAAAUUAAAUUAUUUAAUAAAAAUAUUUUUAAUAUUAAAAAAUAAUUAACUUAAUUCAGAUGUCUCUAUUAAAUAAAAAAUAAAAAAUUUAUUUUAUUUUAUUAAAUUAAAAUUAUUUAAAAAAUCACAUUAAAUUAUAAAAAUAAACAUCUUUAAUUUACUUAAUUAAUUAAUUAAAUUAAAUCAUUUAUUUAAGUUAAAAAAACAAACGCAGUUUCCUUCAAUUGCCACACCAAUUAAAGCAACAAGCCGCUCAUCAACACUGAGAUCAGAAUAUUCUCCCUCCGUUAGUCCUUGAACCCAUGGUUUACCAGGAUGGCUUUCAUUAAUAUCUGUGUGUGUUUGAUCAGGAGUUGCAGCAUUGCUAAUUCCAGCAGCAUCUUCACAGUAAUCAGUCAAAGCCCUAGUUCCUUUUAUCUCAUCAAAGUCUUCUGAAUUCUUAGAAGACAAACCCCUACCAGAAUUGCCAAGGUCACCUUGUGGGCUUUCUAUACCUUUAAUAUCCGCUUCUCUGUUGCCCAAGGGAGUUUUUGCACCACAACUGUUUGCUUCCAGAGAUUCAUGAGUCUCCUCCUUUGAAUUCAGGUCAGUAUCCAUGUCAUAAACAUCAGGAACCUCUGGUACAUCACUAUCUGAAUCUUCAUCCCUUUCUUCAUCUCUUUCAGCAACAUCGGCCUCUUCUCCAUCUACAAAUCCACUUUUAAAUACUCUGAUUCUCUCCCUGGCUGCAGAAAGAAUUGCAUCAGCAUCCCCCGGCUCUUUCCUAUAGGCAGCACGUACACAAUAAGUUUUAAACAGAGGUUAUUAUUUUCAUUAUUUUGCCAUUAUACAUUGACUUUGGUUAAUUGUUUCAUUGCUUGUUGUGGAAUAGAUUCUGUUUGUUGUAUUUUGAGAUUAACGUGGCUUGGAUGUAUACUUGUUUUGGUCAUUGAUUUAAACUCCUUGUUUGUGUAGGUGCUGAGUGAUCCUCAGCAAAGAGCGAUAUAUGAUCAGUACGGAGAAGAGGGCUUAAAGGGUCAGAUGCCGGACCAGGUGGAGCGUCCUUCUUCUCUACUGGAGAAGGGCCUACAACAUUUCGGUUCAAUCCCCGGAGUGCUGAUGACAUUUUUGCUGAGUUCUUCAGUUUUUCACACCCAUUUGGUGGCAUGGGUGGUGGCGGUGGAGGGAUGAGAGGUUCAAGGUUUCCAGGUGGGUUAUUUGGGGAUGAUAUGUUUGGGCCAUUUGGUGAAGGAGGCGGAGGAUCAAUGGGUGGUGGUGGGGCAAGAAAAGCACCUCCGAUUGAGAAUAAGUUGCCUUGUAGCCUUGAGGAUCUCUAUAAGGGGACCACUAAGAAGAUGAAGAUCUCUAGAGAGAUAGCUGAUAUAAGUGGGUAAGUGGUUAUUGCUUUAAUAGUUGGUCUGUUUUUGUAUUGGUGGUGUUACCUUAUUUUCAGUAGUUAUUCUAUGGUUGUGUUACUUUUACUUUUUGGGUAUUUAAAUUGAGCAUUUAUUUAGCCGUUCUGCUGCUCAUCAAAGUAUGGUUUAUUGAUGGCUUAAUUUCAAGAACAAAAGCUAUUGUGUCUAGAAGCUCCCCCAAAACAGAAAAAAGGGGAAAAAAAAAAAAAGGGUUUGCUUUGCUAAAAGGUAUACUUGUCUUUUUGAUUCAUCUUAACAUAAUUGCUUCUACUAGGCUUAUUGGAUUUUACAUAGUGGAAUAUUUUAUUGGUUAAAAUGCAGAAUUAACAUCCUGACUGCAGUCUUGAUUGCUGAUUCUUCGAACUGAACUAAUUAAAUGCUGGAUGUGUUGGUUUAUGAGAAGGAAAUCGGAGGCCGUUGCUUAAUCUAAGCUCUGAUGAUUGUUCAAGCUGAACUAAUUAUUUUGGCUUGGGAUAAGGAAAUAUGGGGCUUUUGCCUAAUCUAACUAAGUUGAAAUUAUCAGAACUUUUUCGGUGCUGGAUUGUGUAAAAGCCAAAUGUUUAAUCGUGAUCAUAUCUGCUUACAUGUUUGGGUUCUUCUUUUGUAAUUAAACUGUGACGAACCGCCAAAGGCAUUUGUAAGAACCUUUUGAAUCAAGCAGUGCGGCGAUUCGAAAGGUUCUCAGCCAGGCAGUAACUUAACUAGAUGAAGUAUAAGCGCUUA
This 25112-nucleotide long non-coding RNA is filed under the name Citrus x clementina. RNAcentral describes it as "Citrus clementina (C. clementina) long non-coding RNA (CCLE_LNC005309)". Lineage: Eukaryota; Viridiplantae; Streptophyta; Magnoliopsida; Sapindales; Rutaceae. The record is from RNAcentral.